GGAGGAGGAGGAGGGGGGAGGCGGAAGGAUGCUGAAGGGAAAUAACGGGGAGGAAGGAGUGAUGCAAUGGCUGCGACGUCGUCGAAUGAACCGAUCCCGAUCAAUCUCAUGUUCAGAAGUAAUUAUCAUUCAUCUCUCAUCGAUGAGACGAUUCUGAUUAAUCCCGAAUAAAGACCAGCUGUCGCUGUAGGAUCUUCUUCACAUCUUCUUGGUUUCAUCCGACUGUUGACGCCACGGUCCGUGAAGAGCUCACGGAGCCUGUACGGUAUCUCAUUAUGGAAAGAUAUCGAUAACGAGAGGGGUACAAAAAGAAUUUCCAGAACAUUAGUUAUACCAUGGGACACGGUGAAAGCCAUCAUCAACAAUUGGAGAAAAUGGGGCACUACUGAGUGACAUCACUGAGAACACGACGUUCCUUCGAGAUUGAUGAAAGGACAAGAAGAACACUCGUCAGGGAGGCUGCCAGGAGACCUACGGCAACAUUAAUGAAGCUGCGGAAAUACCUGGCUCAGAAGUACUGCUCAGUCCCUGCAUCGCUCUUGUAGCUGAUCAUCCCUAGAGGGUUUGACCGCCCUGGUUUAUGCCCCGCCCACCUCUCCUGCCCCUCCCCCACAACCCAACCGCCCUCCUAGAUUCUCCUACUGGUUUAUCUGGACCACGCCCUCUUUCUCCACCCCAAACUUCACCCAAACCAAGGAGCUCGGGGGCGUUCCGGACAAAGACCGAUUAAACAGAAAAGACUACGUGUUUUUAUUCAGUUAAUUUUUUCUUAAAUGGAUGAUUGAAGAAAACGAGAGGACGCAAACUAUUCGUGAGCGUCCGUAUUUAGCGGAGAAGAAACGGUACUGCGGACUGAAAGAGGACGCUUUUGGUCAGAGGAAGGAUCGCAGAAGGGUGGGCGUUUGUUGAUAAAGAAAUACUUCCUGUUUACAUUAAGCAUCGUCUUUCUAAGAGUACACGGCUCUACAUUUCACAGGAAACUGUAAGGGUUACACACACACACACACACACACACACACACAGUAUCACAUAAACCACUCCCACACGUCCCGGCCUCAGGAUGAUGUGCGAGGUGAUGCCCACUAUUUCGGAGGAUGGCCGUGGUGGAGGAGGAGGGGGCCGUCCUCGCCUGCUGGGGG
Molecule: long non-coding RNA, 1139 nt
Organism: Ictalurus punctatus (channel catfish)
Lineage: Eukaryota; Metazoa; Chordata; Actinopteri; Siluriformes; Ictaluridae
Source: Ensembl